UACGAAGGGGGCUAGCGUUGUUCGGAAUCACUGGGCGUAAAGCGCACGUAGGCGGCCUUUCAAGUCAGGGGUGAAAUCCCGGAGCUCAACUUCGGAAUUGCCUUUGAUACUGUUGGUCUCGAGUCCGGAAGAGGUGGGUGGAAUUCCUAGUGUAGAGGUGAAAUUCGUAGAUAUUAGGAAGAACACCGGUGGCGAAGGCGGCCCACUGGUCCGGUACUGACGCUGAGGUGCGAAAGCGUGGGGAGCAAACAGG
Molecule: ribosomal RNA, 253 nt
Filed under: uncultured bacterium
Lineage: Bacteria
Description: partial 16S ribosomal RNA
Rfam family: Bacterial small subunit ribosomal RNA
Source: RNAcentral